UACGGGGGGGGCAAGCGUUGUUCGGAAUUACUGGGCGUAAAGGGCUCGUAGGCGGCCACCUAAGUCAGACGUGAAAUCCCUCGGCUUAACCGGGGAACUGCGUCUGAUACUGGAUGGCUUGAGUUUGGGAGAGGGAUGCGGAAUUCCAGGUGUAGCGGUGAAAUGCGUAGAUAUCUGGAGGAACACCGGUGGCGAAGGCGGCAUCCUGGACCAACACUGACGCUGAGGAGCGAAAGCCAGGGGAGCAAACGGG
RNAcentral lists this ribosomal RNA (253 nucleotides) under uncultured bacterium. RNAcentral's name for it is "partial 16S ribosomal RNA". It matches the Rfam family "Bacterial small subunit ribosomal RNA", at positions 524 to 776 of the family's 1533-position model. The record is from RNAcentral.